This 502-nucleotide ribosomal RNA is filed under the name uncultured bacterium. RNAcentral describes it as "partial 16S ribosomal RNA". It matches the Rfam family "Bacterial small subunit ribosomal RNA", at positions 30 to 523 of the family's 1533-position model. The record is from RNAcentral.
AUUGAACGCUGGCGGAAUGCUUUACACAUGCAAGUCGAACGGCAGCACGGGUGCUUGCACCUGGUGGCGAGUGGCGAACGGGUGAGUAAUACAUCGGAACGUACCCAGUUAUGGGGGAUAACUAACCGAAAGGUUAGCUAAUACCGCAUACGCCCUGAGGGGGAAAGCGGGGGACCGUAAGGCCUCGCGUAAUUGGCGCGGCCGAUGUCUGAUUAACUAGUUGGUGAGGUAAAGGCUCAACAAGGCGACGAUCAGUAGCAGGUAUGAGAGGAUGAUCUGCCAGACUGGAACUGAGACACGGUCCAGACUCCUACGGGAGGCAGCAGGGGGGAAUUUUGGACAAUGGGCGAAAACCUGAUCCAGCCAUUCCGCGUGAGUGAAGAAGGCCUUCGGGUUGUAAAGCUCUUUCGGCAGGGAAGAAACGGUCUAGGUUAAUACCUUGGGCUAAUGAUGGUACCUUAAGAAGAAGCACCGGCUAACUACGUGCCAGCCGCCGCCGUAA